AUUGAACGCUGGCGGCAGGCCUAACACAUGCAAGUCGAACGGUAGCACAGAGAGCUUGCUCUCGGGUGACGAGUGGCGGACGGGUGAGUAAUGUCUGGGAAACUGCCCGAUGGAGGGGGAUAACUACUGGAAACGGUAGCUAAUACCGCAUAACGUCGCAAGACCAAAGCGGGGGACCUUCGGGCCUCACACCGUCCGAUGUGGCCAGAUGGGAUUAGGUAGUAGGUGGGGUAACGGCUCACCUAGGCGACGAUCCCUAGCUGGUCUGAGAGGAUGACCAGCCACACUGGAACUGAGACACGGUCCAGACUCCUACGGGAGGCAGCAGUGGGGAAUAUUGCACAAUGGGCGCAAGCCUGAUGCAGCCAUGCCGCGUGUAUGAAGAAGGCCUUCGGGUUGUAAAGUACUUUCAGCGAGGAGGAAGGCGUUGUGGUUAAUAACCGCAGCGAUUGACGUUACUCGCAGAAGAAGCACCGGCUAACUCCGUGCCAGCCGCCGCCGUAA
This 504-nucleotide ribosomal RNA is filed under the name uncultured bacterium. RNAcentral describes it as "partial 16S ribosomal RNA". It matches the Rfam family "Bacterial small subunit ribosomal RNA", at positions 29 to 523 of the family's 1533-position model. The record is from RNAcentral.